Long non-coding RNA from Macrobrachium nipponense, 564 nucleotides. RefSeq lists it as uncharacterized. NCBI's taxonomy places the organism in Eukaryota, Metazoa, Arthropoda, Malacostraca, Decapoda, Palaemonidae. The record is from RefSeq and is a predicted model, not a curated record. The transcript has 3 exons.
UUACAGAGGCCCUGAAUCUCAUAGUAGAUGGUGUACGUAAUCUUCGAAACAAGGUGGUGUUGAAUCUGAGACCGACUUAUUAAUUGUUACUCUGCCAUCGAUGCCAUAGAUCUGGAUUGGUUUUUGGAAGGAUAACACCAGCUAUGUGAGUACGGAAAUGGGUGUCUUCGUGUACAGUAGAGAUCGUUACACGUUGUGGGCAAUCCUUGUUUCUGUCAUGGUCAACUGGGAGGAAGUUUGGCUUUGAAGUCUAUGAAGGUGUGCCGUCUUGACCGCUUAAGGCUUUGCAGAAUCACGAGUAACUACAGUGGUCAUCGACACCAGUCUUAAAAGGUGCUGGAAAGCUUGAAUUUGCAAGACGUAUUUUUUUUAUCAAGCCUACCGCAGAGCUACGAAUCUUGAAAGUAAUUUAACAUUGAUAGCAAUUUUGAAUUUAGAAGACUGGAAUGUAAAAACAGGUUUUUUGAGUCUUGAAAAAUGUGUGAAAUGGUAUUUUUAGAUCUGAAUAAAAUUGAACUUUUUUAAGGUUUUGUCGUAAACCUCUGAAUUCUGAUCUCCCUUAAU